AUUGAACGCUGGCGGCAUGCUUUACACAUGCAAGUCGAACGGUAACAGGUCUUCGGAUGCUGACGAGUGGCGAACGGGUGAGUAAUGCAUCGGAACGUGCCCAGUCGUGGGGGAUAACGCAGCGAAAGCUGUGCUAAUACCGCAUACGAUCUAUGGAUGAAAGCGGGGGACCGUAAGGCCUCGCGCGAUUGGAGCGGCCGAUGUCAGAUUAGCUAGUUGGUGGGGUAAAGGCCCACCAAGGCGACGAUCUGUAGCUGGUCUGAGAGGACGACCAGCCACACUGGGACUGAGACACGGCCCAGACUCCUACGGGAGGCAGCAGUGGGGAAUUUUGGACAAUGGGCGCAAGCCUGAUCCAGCAAUGCCGCGUGCAGGAAGAAGGCCUUCGGGUUGUAAACUGCUUUUGUACGGAACGAAACGGUCUGGGUUAAUACCCUGGGCUAAUGACGGUACCGUAAGAAUAAGCACCGGCUAACUACGUGCCAGCAGCCGCGGUAA
Molecule: ribosomal RNA, 498 nt
Filed under: uncultured bacterium
Lineage: Bacteria
Description: partial 16S ribosomal RNA
Rfam family: Bacterial small subunit ribosomal RNA
Source: RNAcentral